Molecule: ribosomal RNA, 722 nt
Filed under: bacterium
Lineage: Bacteria
Description: bacterial SSU rRNA
Rfam family: Bacterial small subunit ribosomal RNA
Source: RNAcentral
UGCAGUCGAGCGGUAGCACAAGAGAGCUUGCUCUCUGGGUGACGAGCGGCGGACGGGUGAGUAAUGUCUGGGAAACUGCCUGAUGGAGGGGGAUAACUACUGGAAACGGUAGCUAAUACCGCAUGACGUCUUCGGACCAAAGUGGGGGACCUUCGGGCCUCACGCCAUCAGAUGUGCCCAGAUGGGAUUAGCUAGUAGGUGGGGUAAUGGCUCACCUAGGCGACGAUCUCUAGCUGGUCUGAGAGGAUGACCAGCCACACUGGAACUGAGACACGGUCCAGACUCCUACGGGAGGCAGCAGUGGGGAAUAUUGCACAAUGGGCGCAAGCCUGAUGCAGCCAUGCCGCGUGUAUGAAGAAGGCCUUCGGGUUGUAAAGUACUUUCAGCGAGGAGGAAGGCAUUGUGGUUAAUAACCACAGUGAUUGACGUUACUCGCAGAAGAAGCACCGGCUAACUCCGUGCCAGCAGCCGCGGUAAUACGGAGGGUGCAAGCGUUAAUCGGAAUUACUGGGCGUAAAGCGCACGCAGGCGGUUGAUUAAGUCAGAUGUGAAAUCCCCGAGCUUAACUUGGGAACUGCAUUUGAAACUGGUCAGCUAGAGUCUUGUAGAGGGGGGGUAGAAUUCCAGGUGUAGCGGUGAAAUGCGUAGAGAUCUGGAGGAAUACCGGUGGCGAAGGCGGCCCCCUGGACAAAGACUGACGCUCAGGUGCGAAAGCGUGGGGA